RNAcentral lists this ribosomal RNA (492 nucleotides) under uncultured bacterium. RNAcentral's name for it is "partial 16S ribosomal RNA". It matches the Rfam family "Bacterial small subunit ribosomal RNA", at positions 29 to 507 of the family's 1533-position model. The record is from RNAcentral.
AGUGAACGCUGGCGGUAGGCCUAACACAUGCGAGUCGAACGGCAGCACAGUAAGAGCUUGCUCUUACGGGUGGCGAGUGGCGGACGGGUGAGGAAUACAUCGGAAUCUACUUUUUCGUGGGGGAUAACGUAGGGAAACUUACGCUAAUACCGCAUACGACCUACGGGGGAAAGCAGGGGAUCUUCGGACCUUGCGCGAUUGAAUGAGCCGAUGUCGGAGUAGCUAGUUGGCGGGGUAAAGGCCCACCAAGGCGACGAUCCGUAGCUGGUCUGAGAGGAUGAUCAGCCACACUGGAACUGAGACACGGUCCAGACUCCUACGGGAGGCAGCAGUGGGGAAUAUUGGACAAUGGGCGCAAGCCUGAUCCAGCCAUACCGCGUGGGUGAAGAAGGCCUUCGGGUUGGAAAGCCCUUUUGUUGGGAAAGAAAAGCAGCAGGUUAAUACCCCGCUGUUCUGACGGUACCCAAAGAAUAAGCACCGGCUAACUUCGUG